UGCAGUCGAGCGGUAUAUAGUGGAAUGAAACUUCGGUCGAGUGAAGCUAUAGAGAGCGGCGGACGGGUGAGUAACGCGUAGGCAACCUGCCCCAUACAGAGGGAUAGCCUCGGGAAACCGGGAUUAAAACCUCAUAACGCGAGGAGUUCACAUGGACUUCUCGCCAAAGAUUCAUCGGUAUGGGAUGGGCCUGCGUCUGAUUAGCUAGUUGGUGAGGUAACGGCUCACCAAGGCGACGAUCAGUAGCCGACCUGAGAGGGUAAUCGGCCACAUUGGAACUGAGACACGGUCCAAACUCCUACGGGAGGCAGCAGUGGGGAAUAUUGCACAAUGGGCGAAAGCCUGAUGCA
This 350-nucleotide ribosomal RNA is filed under the name uncultured Clostridium sp. Its description in RNAcentral is "bacterial SSU rRNA". It matches the Rfam family "Bacterial small subunit ribosomal RNA", at positions 56 to 390 of the family's 1533-position model. Lineage: Bacteria; Bacillati; Bacillota; Clostridia; Eubacteriales; Clostridiaceae. The record is from RNAcentral.